AAUUUUCCGCAAUGGGCGAAAGCCUGACGGAGCAAGACCGCGUGGGGGAGGAAAGCCUUUGGGUUGUAAACCCCUUUUCUCAGGGAAGAAGAAAGUGACGGUACCUGAGGAAUCAGCCUCGGCUAACUCCGUGCCAGCAGCCGCGGUAAUACGGAGGAGGCAAGCGUUAUCCGGAAUGAUUGGGCGUAAAGCGUUCGUAGGUGGCCCUUCAAGUCUGCUGUCAAAGACGGGAGCUCAACUCCUGAAAGGCAGUGGAAACUGAAGAGCUGGAGUGCGGUAGGGGCAGAGGGAAUUCCCGGUGUAGCGGUGAAAUGCGUAGAGAUCGGGAAGAACACCGGUGGCGAAAGCGCUCUGCUGGGCCGCAACUGACACUGAGGGACGAAAGCUAGGGGAAGCGAAUGGGAUUAGAUACCCCAUGUAG
Molecule: ribosomal RNA, 421 nt
Filed under: uncultured cyanobacterium
Lineage: Bacteria; Bacillati; Cyanobacteriota
Description: bacterial SSU rRNA
Rfam family: Bacterial small subunit ribosomal RNA
Source: RNAcentral